RNAcentral lists this ribosomal RNA (253 nucleotides) under uncultured bacterium. Its description in RNAcentral is "partial 16S ribosomal RNA". It matches the Rfam family "Bacterial small subunit ribosomal RNA", at positions 524 to 776 of the family's 1533-position model. The record is from RNAcentral.
UACGAAGGGUGCAAGCGUUACUCGGAAUUACUGGGCGUAAAGCGUGCGUAGGUGGUGAGUUAAGUCUGUCGUGAAAGCCCCGGGCUCAACCUGGGAAUGGCGAUGGAUACUGGCUCGCUAGAGUGCGGUAGAGGAGAGUGGAAUUCCCAGUGUAGCAGUGAAAUGCGUAGAGAUCGGGAGGAACAUCAGUUGCGAAGGCGGCUCUCUGGACCAGCACUGACACUGAGGCACGAAAGCGUGGGGAGCAAACAGG